This 483-nucleotide ribosomal RNA is filed under the name uncultured bacterium. RNAcentral's name for it is "partial 16S ribosomal RNA". It matches the Rfam family "Bacterial small subunit ribosomal RNA", at positions 28 to 507 of the family's 1533-position model. The record is from RNAcentral.
GACGAGCGCUGGCGGCGUGCUUAACACAUGCAAGUCGAACGCUGAAGCUCAGCUUUUGUUGGGUGGAUGAGUGGCGAACGGGUGAGUAACACGUGAGUAACCUGCCUCCUUCUUUGGGAUAACGCCCGGAAACGGGUGCUAAUACCGGAUAUUCACUGGUCUUCGCAUGGGGGUUGGUGGAAAGGGUUUUUCUGGUGGGGGAUGGGCUCGCGGCCUAUCAGCUUGUUGGUGGGGUGAUGGCCUACCAAGGCUUUGACGGGUAGCCGGCCUGAGAGGGUGACCGGUCACAUUGGGACUGAGAUACGGCCCAGACUCCUACGGGAGGCAGCAGUGGGGAAUAUUGCACAAUGGGCGCAAGCCUGAUGCAGCGACGCCGCGUGAGGGAUGGAGGCCUUCGGGUUGUGAACCUCUUUCGCUCAUGGUCAAGCCGCAACAAUGGUUGUGGUGAGGGUAGUGGGUAAAGAAGCGCCGGCUAACUACGUG